Molecule: long non-coding RNA, 230 nt
Filed under: Elaeis guineensis (African oil palm)
Lineage: Eukaryota; Viridiplantae; Streptophyta; Magnoliopsida; Arecales; Arecaceae
Description: long non-coding RNA (EGUI_LNC078678)
Source: RNAcentral
UCGCCCCCCACCUCGUUCCACUCCAUCUCCGAAAUCCCAACCCUAAGGGGAAAGGAUGGGAUAGAAUUCAGGGAGCAGCAAAGGCAAUGGCAGCGACGACGACGACAUGUUUCAAGAAGAACUGGGGUUACCCCGAAGGCAGCGAUGGCGCCAGAGAUAUGCGCCACCACCGUGUGCUCCACGACAACCACCGUCCUAGGUGUUCCGGCAAGGUCGGCAUGCACUACUUC